Molecule: ribosomal RNA, 315 nt
Filed under: uncultured Acaulospora
Lineage: Eukaryota; Fungi; Glomeromycota; Glomeromycetes; Diversisporales; Acaulosporaceae
Description: SSU rRNA
Rfam family: Eukaryotic small subunit ribosomal RNA
Source: RNAcentral
AGCAGCCGCGGUAAUUCCAGCUCCAAUAGCGUAUAUUAAAGUUGUUGCAGUUAAAAAGCUCGUAGUUGAAUUUCGGAAUCUGUCCAUCGGUCGGGCUUCAUUGUUCGUACUGGUGUGGUGGGUUCUUACCUUCUGAAUAACCAGCAUGCCAUUCACUUGGUGCGUUGGGGAAGCAGGACUAUUACCUUGAAAAAAUUAGAGUGCUCAAAGCAGGCCAGUGCCUGAAUACAUUAGCAUGGAAUAAUAAAAUAGGACGGCAUGGUUCUAUUUUGUUGGUUUCUAGGAUCACCGUAAUGAUUAAUAGGGAUAGUUGGG